This 369-nucleotide long non-coding RNA is filed under the name Pan troglodytes (chimpanzee). RNAcentral's name for it is "lincRNA". The record is from RNAcentral. Lineage: Eukaryota; Metazoa; Chordata; Mammalia; Primates; Hominidae.
CCCAGGUGUGGCAGGAGCUUUUACCUGCUCUUCGGCAGUAGCCGGCUGCCACUCAACCCCGUGCCUGGGUUGUCCUCAUCUAAUCCGUCAGUACCAGACAGUGAACAUCUCUCCCCCAGGAUGCUGAGGGAGGGUGCUGGAGGGAAGGAUGUGGAACUACAGCCUCUGCUCUCAAGAAGCUCAGAUCUGGGCAGGGAACAUCACAUACCAGGGCUGUCGGGGGGUGGAGGGCUGGGGGAGGGAUAGCAUUAGGGGAAAUACCUAAUGUAAAUGACAAGUUGAUGGGUGCAGCAAACCAACAUGGCACACGUAUACCUAUGUAACAAACCUGCAUGUUGUGCACAUGUACCCUAGAACUUAAAGUAUAAU